GUCCGAGUCCGAAUGGGGCGGA
RNAcentral lists this microRNA (22 nucleotides) under Tribolium castaneum (red flour beetle). RNAcentral describes it as "tca-miR-11615-3p". Lineage: Eukaryota; Metazoa; Arthropoda; Insecta; Coleoptera; Tenebrionidae. The record is from miRBase by way of RNAcentral.